UACGGAGGGGGCUAGCGUUGUUCGGAAUUACUGGGCGUAAAGGGCACGUAGGCGGGCUGUUAAGUCGGGGGUGAAAUCCUGAGGCUCAACCUCAGAAUUGCCUUCGAUACUGGCGGUCUUGAGUGCGGGAGAGGUGAGUGGAAUUCCCAGUGUAGAGGUGAAAUUCGUAGAUAUUGGGAAGAACACCAGUGGCGAAGGCGGCUCACUGGCCCGCAACUGACGCUGAGGUGCGAAAGCGUGGGGAGCAAACAGG
This 253-nucleotide ribosomal RNA is filed under the name uncultured Alphaproteobacteria bacterium. RNAcentral describes it as "partial 16S ribosomal RNA". It matches the Rfam family "Bacterial small subunit ribosomal RNA", at positions 524 to 776 of the family's 1533-position model. Lineage: Bacteria; Pseudomonadati; Pseudomonadota; Alphaproteobacteria. The record is from RNAcentral.